GCAUUCUAUGAUUUCAGGCAGAAUGUUAAGCCUCUUCACUUUUCCUGAUGCCCGGGAAUUCUUAUUAAGUUAUGACUAACAAAGUGUAAAAUAUGAGUCAAAAUUUAGUCCCUAAUAAAGUCAUUGUGACUUUAAUGACUUUGGCAGUUGUUUCAUACUGCAAAAACAGGAAGAUCUCACACAAUAAGGCGCCUGUCUCACAGAUGGGCUCCUGCGCAGACGGCCACCC
Molecule: long non-coding RNA, 229 nt
Filed under: Bos taurus (domestic cattle)
Lineage: Eukaryota; Metazoa; Chordata; Mammalia; Artiodactyla; Bovidae
Description: long non-coding RNA NONBTAT018701
Source: RNAcentral